Molecule: ribosomal RNA, 253 nt
Filed under: uncultured bacterium
Lineage: Bacteria
Description: partial 16S ribosomal RNA
Rfam family: Bacterial small subunit ribosomal RNA
Source: RNAcentral
UACAGAGGGUGCGAGCGUUAAUCGGAAUUACUGGGCGUAAAGCGCGCGUAGGCGGCUUUGCAAGUCGGGUGUGAAAUCCCCAGGCUUAACCUGGGAACUGCAUUCGAGACUGCAUUGCUAGAGUAUGGGAGAGGGAAGUGGAAUUUCCGGUGUAGCGGUGAAAUGCGUAGAUAUCGGAAGGAACACCGGUGGCGAAGGCGGGUCUCUGGGCCGAUACUGACGCUGAGGAGCGGAAGCGUGGGGAGCGAACAGG